RNAcentral lists this transfer RNA (67 nucleotides) under Adrisa magna. RNAcentral describes it as "tRNA-Cys". The record is from RNAcentral. Lineage: Eukaryota; Metazoa; Arthropoda; Insecta; Hemiptera; Cydnidae.
GGCUUUAUAGUCAAUAUAUGAUAUUAGACUGCAAUUCUAAAGUAAGGUAUAAUAAGCCUUAAAGCUU